CCUACGGGUUGCAGCAGUGGGGAAUCUUAGACAAUGGGGGCAACCCUGAUCUAGCCAUGCCGCGUGAACGAUGAAGGCCUUAGGGUUGUAAAGUUCUUUCAGCUGGGAAGAUAAUGACGGUACCAGCAGAAGAAGCCCCGGCUAACUCCGUGCCAGCAGCCGCGGUAAUACGGAGGGGGCUAGCGUUGUUCGGAAUUACUGGGCGUAAAGCGCACGUAGGCGGACUAUUAAGUCAGGGGUGAAAUCCCGGGGCUCAACCCCGGAACUGCCUUUGAUACUGGUAGUCUUGAGUUCGAGAGAGGUGAGUGGAAUUCCGAGUGUAGAGGUGAAAUUCGUAGAUAUUCGGAGGAACACCAGUGGCGAAGGCGGCUCACUGGCUCGAUACUGACGCUGAGGUGCGAAAGCGUGGGGAGCAAACAGGAUUAGAUACCCGAGUAGUC
RNAcentral lists this ribosomal RNA (440 nucleotides) under uncultured bacterium. Its description in RNAcentral is "bacterial SSU rRNA". It matches the Rfam family "Bacterial small subunit ribosomal RNA", at positions 338 to 795 of the family's 1533-position model. The record is from RNAcentral.